GAGAAGAUUUUCUUGCAGGCCCAUAGAAUCAAAACUAUCGUAAACUUCAUCGUAUGAGGUGAAGAAAUCCUGUCCAUCAGCUGAAAGUAACUCAUUCAUUUUUGUGUCAUACUGACGUGCAUCAAAUUGAGAACCUUCUGGAGCCAAACCAGCCAUAUCUGUAGAUCAGUGAGAGCGAAGGAUUGGAAGAAGUUUUGAGAGCGUUGGAAGAUGGCGAGAGAUUCACAAACUCCUCGGAUCUGCGCCGUGGAGUUGAAAAGGAG
RNAcentral lists this unclassified non-coding RNA (263 nucleotides) under Hevea brasiliensis (rubber tree). The record is from RNAcentral. Lineage: Eukaryota; Viridiplantae; Streptophyta; Magnoliopsida; Malpighiales; Euphorbiaceae.